Molecule: long non-coding RNA, 1345 nt
Organism: Cercocebus atys (sooty mangabey)
Lineage: Eukaryota; Metazoa; Chordata; Mammalia; Primates; Cercopithecidae
Exons: 4
Source: RefSeq, a predicted model, not a curated record
GGGCUCAGUCCGGGAGCCAGCGGCUGGACGGGGCGGGGUUGCGCCCUGGAACACCGGGCAGGCGAGGAAGGAGAAAAGCCCAGCUGGCGGCUUAGAGGCGAGGGUCGUGCCUUUCCCAGCGGCCUCGCCCUGGCCAUCCUGACCCUGAGGGAAGAGCCUCUAAGGACACGAACCAUCUGCGGCUGAAGUCGCUUGGACUGAACCCCGCCGAAGAUUUUGGCAGCUGCACACUCCCUCCCAGGGAGGUGAGGGCGCCCGGCGAAGUGUGGGGUCUGCCGCCCCCUGCCGGCCUGGCUGACGUUCGCUUCUGUUUCCACGGGGCCCAGCAAUGUUCCAAGUGCAACGUUUGGAAGAUUGAUUCCUAGAGGAAGGCUGAGUCCAGAGUGUCUGAACUCAGUGACAGCUUCCCACGUGAAGGUCAAGUGUUGUCUGCAGCCCCUGUGGAAUCCUGGUUGCCAACGUCCGUCCUUCCACUUAGAGCAGUUCUUGUGCAGUCUUUGAUGCAAGGUCUGGAGGCUGGAAGUCCAAGAUCAAGGUGUGGGCAGAUGCAGUGUCUGGUGAAAUCUCUCCCCUUGGCUUUUAGAUGGCCCGACUCCUCGCUGCACCCUCACAUGGCAUCUCCUCUGCUUCUGUGAGGAGGGAAAGGGAUGGGGUGUGUGUGUGUGUGUGUGUGUGUGUGUGUGUGUAGAGAUGGCUCUCCUUAUUGAGGCAUGAAUCCCAUCAUGGGAAUUUCAUCAUGGCCUUCUGCCACAUGAAGACACAGUAAUAAGGGGUCACCAGAUGCUGGCACCUUGACUGGGGACCUCACAGCCACCAGAACUGUGACACAGUCCAUUUUUGUCCUCUAUAGAUUACCCAACCUGUGACAUUUUGUUACAGCAACACAAACAGACUGAGACCUAUGGAGAGGCUUCUCUUCCCACCCCUGUAGUGACUCCUUCUUUGCUAAAUUCAGUGAGCAUUUUUCAGUCCUCAUCUUUGUGAAAGGACAUUUUGCUGCAGUGGAGACUGGAGCUCAGAUAUUGUUGAUGAUCAGAGUUGGCGUGUCUCCCCAAUUGAUUUACAGUUGAGUGUUGGAUACUGUUUUAAACCUGGGAGGAGCCUCCUAACCAUCUUGAUACAACCACUGAUGUGACUACACUAGAGAUAGACUCUUUCCACUUAAUUCUACCCCUCUCGCUUUACUUCAUGAGGAUGAAAAUAUAAUAAUGCACCAUGAAUUCAUUUAGGGAAGGAUUGAUAUUUUAUUUUAUUUUUUUAAAUAUGUAUUUAUUUAAGCUACACCUACUGGAAUGGGAAGGAUUGAUCUUUUAUUUUACUUUGUUUUGUUUUUAUUUAUUUAUUU